Molecule: ribosomal RNA, 541 nt
Filed under: uncultured bacterium
Lineage: Bacteria
Description: bacterial SSU rRNA
Rfam family: Bacterial small subunit ribosomal RNA
Source: RNAcentral
UAAGGAAUAUUGGUCAAUGGGCGCAAGCCUGAACCAGCCAUGCCGCGUGCAGGAAGACGGCCCUAUGGGUUGUAAACUGCUUUUAUCAGGGAAUAAACCCCCGCUCGUGAGCGGGGCUGAAGGUACCUGAAGAAUAAGCAUCGGCUAACUCCGUGCCAGCAGCCGCGGUAAUACGGAGGAUGCAAGCGUUAUCCGGAUUCAUUGGGUUUAAAGGGUGCGCAGGCGGAUUGGUAAGUCAGGGGUGAAAUCCCACAGCUCAACUGUGGAACUGCCUUUGAUACUGUCAGUCUAGAGUAUAGUUGAAGUGGGCGGAAUGUGUCAUGUAGCGGUGAAAUGCUUAGAUAUGACACAGAACACCGAUCGCGAAGGCAGCUCGCUAAGCUAUAACUGACGCUCAUGCACGAAAGCGUGGGGAUCAAACAGGAUUAGAUACCCUGGUAGUCCACGCUGUAAACGAUGAUUACUCGAUGUUGGCGAUACACAGUCAGCGUCUGAGCGAAAGCAAUAAGUAAUCCACCUGGGGAGUACGAUCGCAAGAUUG